ACGCUGGCGGCGUGCCUAAUACAUGCAAGUCGAACGCACAGCGAAAGGUGCUUGCACCUUUCAAGUGAGUGGCGAACGGGUGAGUAACACGUGGACAACCUGCCUCAAGGCUGGGGAUAGCAUUUGGAAACAGAUGCUAAUACCGAAUAAAACUUAGUGUCGCAUGACACAAAGUUAAAAGGCGCUUCGGCGUCACCUAGAGAUGGAUCCGCGGUGCAUUAGUUAGUUGGUGGGGUAAAGGCCUACCAAGACAAUGAUGCAUAGCCGAGUUGAGAGACUGAUCGGCCACAUUGGGACUGAGACACGGCCCAAACUCCUACGGGAGGCUGCAGUAGGGAAUCUUCCACAAUGGGCGAAAGCCUGAUGGAGCAACGCCGCGUGUGUGAUGAAGGCUUUCGGGUCGUAAAGCACUGUUGUAUGGGAAGAACAGCUAGAAUAGGAAAUGAUUUUAGUUUGACGGUACCAUACCAGAAAGGGACGGCUAAAUACGUGCCAGCAGCCGCGGUAAUACGUAUGUCCCGAGCGUUAUCCGGAUUUAUUGGGCGUAAAGCGAGCGCAGACGGUUUAUUAAGUCUGAUGUGAAAGCCCGGAGCUCAACUCCGGAAUGGCAUUGGAAACUGGUUAACUUGAGUGCAGUAGAGGUAAGUGGAACUCCAUGUGUAGCGGUGGAAUGCGUAGAUAUAUGGAAGAACACCAGUGGCGAAGGCGGCUUACUGGACUGCAACUGACGUUGAGGCUCGAAAGUGUGGGUAGCAAAC
This 758-nucleotide ribosomal RNA is filed under the name uncultured bacterium. Its description in RNAcentral is "bacterial SSU rRNA". It matches the Rfam family "Bacterial small subunit ribosomal RNA", at positions 33 to 773 of the family's 1533-position model. The record is from RNAcentral.